This 690-nucleotide ribosomal RNA is filed under the name Khoyollomyces ramosus. Its description in RNAcentral is "partial large subunit ribosomal RNA". It matches the Rfam family "Eukaryotic large subunit ribosomal RNA", at positions 55 to 630 of the family's 3401-position model. Lineage: Eukaryota; Fungi; Neocallimastigomycota; Neocallimastigomycetes; Neocallimastigales; Neocallimastigaceae. The record is from RNAcentral.
GGAAAAGAAACUAACAAGGAUUCCCCUAGUAACGGCGAGUGAAGCGGGAAGAGCUCAAAUUUGAAAUCUUAAAGGGUUUCCCUUUACGAAUUGUAGUUUAAAGAAGUGUUUUCUGUUGAGGUUUUGGUAAAAGUUCUUUGGAAUAGGACAUCAUAGAGGGUGAGAAUCCCGUAUUUGACCUUUACUUUCAACUUUGUGAUACACUUUCAAAGAGUCGGAUUGUUUGGGAAUGCAGUCCAAAAUGGGUGGUAAAUUUCAUCUAAAGCUAAAUAUUGGCGAGAGACCGAUAGCGAACAAGUACCGUGAGGGAAAGAUGAAAAGAACUUUGAAAAGAGAGUUAAACAGUACGUGAAAUUGUCAAAAGGGAAGCGUUUGACACCAGUGUUGUUUUUCUGAAAAUCAAUUAAAGAACUGUUUAUGCUAAGUUGUUUAGACUUUAUCAGCUAACUGUUUAGUUUUGAGCUUUUCUUUAAUGCACUUUUCAGUUAACAAGUCAACAUCAAUUUCUUUUGCUGUAAAAAAGCUUGAGGAAGGUGGCUUGAGAUUCGUCUUAAGUGUUUAUAGCCUCUUGCCUAUGCAGUCGGAGAGAUUGAGGUCUGCAGCGUAGAUCCUUCGGGGCUAAAUGCAUUUGUGCUAAGUUAUAGCAUUUUAUAGACAACUUGUUGACUAUGAUUUGUCUUGUAGCUUACU